This 333-nucleotide unclassified non-coding RNA is filed under the name soil metagenome. RNAcentral describes it as "partial contains 5.8S ribosomal RNA, internal transcribed spacer 2, and large subunit ribosomal RNA". The stretch from base 1 to 120 matches the Rfam family "5.8S ribosomal RNA", at positions 35 to 154 of the family's 154-position model. The record is from RNAcentral.
GAUGAAGAACGUAGCGAAAUGCGAUAAGUAAUGUGAAUUGCAGAAUUCAGUGAAUCAUCGAAUCUUUGAACGCACAUUGCGCCCGCCAGUAUUCUGGCGGGCAUGCCUGUUCGAGCGUCAUUUCAACCAUCAAGCCCCCGGCUUGUGUUGGGGACCUGCGGCUGCCGCAGGCCCUGAAAUGCAGUGGCGGGCUCGCUGUCACUCCGAGCGUAGUAGUUACAUCUCGCUCUGGGCGUGCUGCGGGUUCCGGCCGUUAAAAGCCUUAUUUACCCAAGGUUGACCUCGGAUCAGGUAGGAAGACCCGCUGAACUUAAGCAUAUCAUAAGCGGAGGA